ACGCUCGACACCUACGGGAGCAGCAGUUGGGAAUAUUGGACAAUGGAGGAAACUCUGAUCCAGUGACGCCGCGUGAAGGAAGAAGGUCUUCGGAUUGUAAACUUAUUUUGUCAGGGAAGAAAAAAUGACUGUACCUGAAGAAAAAGCACCGGCUAACUACGUGCUAGCAGCCGCGGUAAUCUGAGCGGGCUGGCAAGGC
This 199-nucleotide ribosomal RNA is filed under the name uncultured bacterium. RNAcentral's name for it is "partial 16S ribosomal RNA". It matches the Rfam family "Bacterial small subunit ribosomal RNA", at positions 328 to 539 of the family's 1533-position model. The record is from RNAcentral.